GGCACAAACUCGAAGUAGAAUAGUUGGGUAUGGUCAGUUGAUCCUACUAAUCUACUCUACUUCAAGUUUGUGCCC
This is a non-coding RNA of Haemonchus placei, 75 nucleotides long. NCBI's taxonomy places the organism in Eukaryota, Metazoa, Nematoda, Chromadorea, Rhabditida, Trichostrongylidae. The record is from Rfam.